Molecule: ribosomal RNA, 1678 nt
Filed under: human gut metagenome
Description: bacterial LSU rRNA
Rfam family: Bacterial large subunit ribosomal RNA
Source: RNAcentral
CGUAAUAGCUCACUGGUCGAGAGGUCCUGCGCCGAAAAUGUCCGGGGCUGAAACACACCACCGAAGCUCGGGAAUUGAUCUGAUCAAUUGGUAGAGGAGCAUUGCAUACGGGAAGAAGCAGUACCGGAAGGAGCUGUGGACUGUAUGGAAGAGAGAAUGCCGGAAUGAGUAGCGAGAGGAAGGUGAGAAUCCUUCCGGCCGAAUAUCCAAGGUUUCCAGAGUAAAGCUGAUCUGCUCUGGGUAAGUCGGGACCUAAGGCGAGGCCGAGAGGCGUAGCCGAUGGACAACAGGUUGAGAUUCCUGUACUACGAUAUGACAGAACUGUGGGGACGCAGAAAGAGAGCACUACCGGGAAUGGAGAGACCGGGGCAAGCGAGGUAGGAGGCAGGUAGGCAAAUCCGCCUGCCAAUCUGAAGACGUGAUGCAUACCGAACUAAGAGUAGGGAAAUGUGUGAGCUGGCUGCCAAGAAAAGCCGCUAUUGUUCAUAUCGUACCCGUACCGUAAACCGACACAGGUAGAUGAGGAGAGAAUCCUAAGGCCGACGGGAGAAGCAUUGUUAAGGAACUCGGCAAAAUGACUCCGUAACUUCGGGAGAAGGAGUGCCAUGCGAAUGGCCGCAGAGAAUUGGCCCAAGCAACUGUUUAGCAAAAACACAGGUCUAUGCGAAACCGAAAGGUGAGGUAUAUGGGCUGACGCCUGCCCGGUGCUGGAAGGUUAAGGGGAGAGGUUAGCGCAAGCGAAGCUUUGAACUUAAGCCCCAGUAAACGGCGGCCGUAACUAUAACGGUCCUAAGGUAGCGAAAUUCCUUGUCGGGUAAGUUCCGACCCGCACGAAAGGCGUAAUGAUUUGGGCACUGUCUCGACAAUGCACCCGGUGAAAUUGAAAUACCAGUGAAGAUGCUGGUUACCUGCGCCAGGACGGAAAGACCCCAUGGAGCUUUACUCCAGCUUGAUACUGGGAUUCGGUAUUGCAUGUACAGGAUAGGUGGGAGGCUAGGAAGAGAAGACGCCAGUCUUUUUGGAGCCGCUGUUGGGAUACCACCCUUGCAGUGCUGGGUUUCUAACCUGCAGCCGUGAUCCGGCUGGGGGACAAUGUCAGGUGGGGAGUUUGACUGGGGCGGUCGCCUCCGAAAGGGUAUCGGAGGCGCUCAAAGGUUCCCUCAGAAUGGUCGGAAACCAUUCGAAGAGUGCAAAGGCAGAAGGGAGCUUGACUGCGACACCGACGGGUGGAGCAGGUACGAAAGUAGGACUUAGUGAUCCGGUGGUAUAAAGUGGGAUUGCCAUCGCUCAACGGAUAAAAGCUACCCUGGGGAUAACAGGCUUAUCACUCCCAAGAGUUCACAUCGACGGAGUGGUUUGGCACCUCGAUGUCGGCUCAUCGCAUCCUGGGGCUGAAGUAGGUCCCAAGGGUUGGGCUGUUCGCCCAUUAAAGCGGUACGCGAGCUGGGUUCAGAACGUCGUGAGACAGUUCGGUCCCUAUCCGGCGUGGGCGUAGGAUAUUUGAGAGGAGCUGUCCUUAGUACGAGAGGACCGGGAUGGACUGGCCGCUGGUGUAUCUGUUGUAUUACCAAGUGCAUAGCAGAGUAGCCAAGCCGGGAAGGGAUAAACGCUGAAGGCAUCUAAGCGUGAAGCCCCCCUCAAGAUGAGAUAUCCCUACGAAAGUAGUAAGACCCCUUGA